Molecule: ribosomal RNA, 863 nt
Filed under: uncultured bacterium
Lineage: Bacteria
Description: bacterial SSU rRNA
Rfam family: Bacterial small subunit ribosomal RNA
Source: RNAcentral
CAUCUUCGGAUGUGUAUAAAGUGGCGAACGGCUGAGUAACACGUGGGCAACCUGCCCUUUGCACUGGGAUAGCCUCGGGAAACCGAGGUUAAUACCGGAUACUCCAUAUCCACCGCAUGAUAGAUAUGGGAAAGCUCCGGCGGCAAAGGAUGGGCCCGCGGCCUGUUAGCUAGUUGGUGGGGUAGUGGCCUACCAAGGCAAUGAUGGGUAGCCGGGUUGAGAGACCGACCGGCCAGAUUGGGACUGAGACACGGCCCAGACUCCUACGGGAGGCAGCAGUGGGGAAUCUUGCACAAUGGGCGAAAGCCUGAUGCAGCGACGCCGCGUGCGGGAUGAAGGCCUUCGGGUUGUAAACCGCUUUCAGCAGGGACGAGGCCGCAAGGUGACGGUACCUGCAGAAGAAGCCCCGGCUAACUACGUGCCAGCAGCCGCGGUAAUACGUAGGGGGCAAGCGUUAUCCGGAUUCAUUGGGCGUAAAGCGCGCGUAGGCGGUCUGUUAGGUCAGGAGUCAAAUCUGGGGGCUCAACCCCUAUCCGCUCCUGAUACCGGCAGGCUUGAGUCUGGUAUGGGAAGGUGGAAUUCCAAGUGUAGCGGUGAAAUGCGCAGAUAUUUGGAAGAACACCAGUGGCGAAGGCGGCCUUCUGGGCCAUGACUGACGCUGAGGCGCGAAAGCUAGGGGAGCGAACAGGAUUAGAUACCCUGGUAGUCCUAGCUGUAAACGAUGGACACUAGGUGUGGGGAGAUUAUACUUUCCGUGCCGCAGCUAACGCAUUAAGUGUCCCGCCUGGGGAGUACGGUCGCAAGACUAANACUCAAAGGAAUUGACGGGGGCCCGCACAAGCAGCGGAGCAUGUGGCUUAAUU